Molecule: RNA transcript, 1141 nt
Organism: Eriocheir sinensis (Chinese mitten crab)
Lineage: Eukaryota; Metazoa; Arthropoda; Malacostraca; Decapoda; Varunidae
Exons: 8
Source: RefSeq, a predicted model, not a curated record
AUGUGGAUGCUUUAUGGUCCUCAAGAAAUACAUACGUCAUUAUUAGCAGGUUAUGAUUUGGAUUAUACGUUACACCUGGUCUCAAAGUCAUUAUUAGCAGGUUAUGAUUUGGAUUAUACGUUACACCUGGUCUCAAAGUCAUUAUUAGCAGGUUAUGACUUGGAUUAUACGUUACACCUGGUCUCAAAGUCAUUAUUCGCAGGUUAUGACUUGGAUUAUACGUUACACCUGGUCUCAAAGUCAUUAUUACCAGGUUAUGAUUUGGAUUAUACGUUACACCUGAUCUCAAAGUCAUUAUUACCAGGUUAUGAUUUGGAUUAUACGUUACACCUGAUCUCAAAGUCAUUAUUAGCAGGUUAUGAUUUGGAUUAUACGUUACACCUGGUCUCAAAGUCAUUAUUAGCAGGUUAUGACUUGGAUUAUACGUUACACCUGGUCUCAAAGUCAUUAUUAGCAGGUUAUGACUUGGAUUAUACGUUACACCUGGUCUCAAAGUCAUUAUUAGCAGGUUAUGACUUGGAUUAUACGUUACACCUGGUCUCAAAGUCAUUAUUAGCAGGUUAUGACUUGGAUUAUACGUUAUACCUGGUCUCAAAGUCAUUAUUAGCAGGUUAUGACUUGGAUUAUACGUUACACCUGGUCUCAAAGUCAUUAUUAGCAGGUUAUGACUUGGAUUAUACGUUAUACCUGGUCUCAAAGUCAUUAUUAGCAGGUUAUGACUUGGAUUAUACGUUACACCUGGUCUCAAAGUCAUUAUUAGCAAGUUAUGACUUGGAUUAUACGUUACACCUGGUCUCAAAGUCAUUAUUAGCAGGUUAUGACUGGAUUAUACGUUACACCUGGUCUCAAAGUCAUUAUUACCAGGUUAUGACUUGGAUUAUACGUUACACCUGGUCUCAAAGUCAUUAUUAGCAGGUUAUGACUUGGAUUAUACGUUACACCUGGUCUCAAAGUCAUUAUUAGCAGGUUAUGACUUGGAUUAUACGUUACACCUGAUCUCAAAGUCAUUAUUAGCAUGUUAUGACUUGGAUUAUACGUUACACCUGAUCUCAAAGUCAUUAUUAGCAGGUUAUGACUUGGAUUAUACGUUACACCUGAUCUCAAAGUCAUUAUUAGCAGGUUAUGACUUGGAUUAAACGUU